This 197-nucleotide unclassified non-coding RNA is filed under the name uncultured fungus. RNAcentral describes it as "partial contains 18S rRNA, ITS1, 5.8S rRNA, ITS2 and 28S rRNA". Lineage: Eukaryota; Fungi. The record is from RNAcentral.
AGGGAUCAUUACAGAGUUCAUGCCCUCACGGGUAGAUCUCCACCCUGUGUUAUUGUUACCUUGUUGCUUUGGCGGGCCGCCAUUAGGCUACCGGCUUCGGCUGGUAAGCGCCCGCCAGAGGAUUCAAACCCUGAAUUUAUUGUCGUCUGAGUACUAUAUAAUAGUUAAAACUUUCAACAACGGAUCUCUUGGUUCUG